This 253-nucleotide ribosomal RNA is filed under the name uncultured bacterium. Its description in RNAcentral is "partial 16S ribosomal RNA". It matches the Rfam family "Bacterial small subunit ribosomal RNA", at positions 524 to 776 of the family's 1533-position model. The record is from RNAcentral.
UACGUAGGGUGCAAGCGUUGUCCGGAAUUAUUGGGCGUAAAGAGCUCGUAGGCGGCUUGUCACGUCGACUGUGAAAACCUGGGGCUCAACCCCGGGCCUGCAGCCGAUACGGGCAAGCUAGAAUUCGGUAGGGGAGACUGGAAUUCCUGGUGUAGCGGUGAAAUGCGCAGAUAUCAGGAGGAACACCGGUGGCGAAGGCGGGUCUCUGGGCCGAUAUUGACGCUGAGGAGCGAAAGCGUGGGGAGCGAACAGG